AGAGUUUGAUCCUGGCUCAGAUUGAACGCUGGCGGCGUGCCUAACACAUGCAAGUCGAGCGGUAACAGGUGUAGCAAUACAUGCUGACGAGCGGCGAACGGGUGAGUAAUGCUUCGGAAUCUACCCUAUGGUGGGGAAUAACCAGCCGAAAGGUUGGCUAAUACCGCAUACGUCCUACGGGAGAAAGCAGGGGAUCGUAAGACCUUGCGCCGAUGGAUGAGCCGAAGUCGGAUUAGCUAGUUGGUGAGGUAACGGCUCACCAAGGCGACGAUCCGUAGCUGGUCUGAGAGGACGACCAGCCACACUGGGACUGAGACACGGCCCAGACUCCUACGGGAGGCAGCAGUGGGGAAUAUUGGACAAUGGGGGCAACCCUGAUCCAGCGACGCCGCGUGUGUGAAGAAGGCCUGCGGGUUGUAAAGCACUUUUAGUGGGGAUGAAAUGUGCAGGGUUAAUACCUCUGCAUUUUGACCUAACCCACAGAAAAAGCACCGGCUAACUCUGUGCCAGCAGCCGCGGUAAUACAGAGGGUGCAAGCGUUAAUCGGAAUUACUGGGCGUAAAGCGUGCGUAGACGGUUAUGUAAGUCAGAUGUGAAAGCCCCGGGCUCAACCUGGGAAUUGCAUUUGAGACUGUGUAGCUAGGGUGCGGAAGAGGGAAGCGGAAUUUCCGGUGUAGCGGUGAAAUGCGUAGAUAUCGGAAGGAACACCAGUGGCGAAAGCGGCUUCCUGGUCCAGCACCGACGUUCAGGCACGAAAGCGUGGGGAGCAAACAGGAUUAGAUACCCUAGUAGUCC
Molecule: ribosomal RNA, 795 nt
Filed under: uncultured bacterium
Lineage: Bacteria
Description: bacterial SSU rRNA
Rfam family: Bacterial small subunit ribosomal RNA
Source: RNAcentral